This 222-nucleotide unclassified non-coding RNA is filed under the name Ambisporaceae sp. RNAcentral describes it as "partial contains 5.8S ribosomal RNA and internal transcribed spacer 2". The stretch from base 1 to 71 matches the Rfam family "5.8S ribosomal RNA", at positions 84 to 154 of the family's 154-position model. The record is from RNAcentral. Lineage: Eukaryota; Fungi; Glomeromycota; Glomeromycetes; Archaeosporales; Ambisporaceae.
GUGAAUCAUCAAAUUUUUGAACGCAUAUUGCACUAUCUGGUAUUCCGGAGAGUAUGCCUAUCUGAGGGUCAUUUGAAAUAAUAUAAAUUUCGAGAUUUUCUUGAAAUCAAAAAUGGGUCGGUCAAGCUUUGGUGUGGUGGUCGCCUAAAAUGCAGGACAAGCUAAUUUUUGGGGUUGGGUGAUACUUUAAGUACCCUGUGGACUUCACAAGAAAUCUUCGAG